RNAcentral lists this long non-coding RNA (548 nucleotides) under Homo sapiens (human). Its description in RNAcentral is "non-protein coding LINC00662:15". The record is from RNAcentral. Lineage: Eukaryota; Metazoa; Chordata; Mammalia; Primates; Hominidae.
CACCGCCCUACAAUCCUGCUUUGUGCUGAGAUUGUAGUCCUGCAGGCGUACAACUAACAAGCUGGGUGCAGAUAAGAGACUACAGCUCCCCGCAUCCCAAGCAAAGGUCCCUCCUCUACGGAGCCCCUCCACGCGUCCACUGCGGUUCCGCCGUGCCAAGGGGAGCUUGGCUGUUCACGGGCCUCACCUGCUAGCGAGAAGAUAGCUUGGCCGGGCGGCUGAUCUCACCUUGUAAUUCUGACACUGUGUCUCCCGGGCUUGUCGGCUUCAUGACUUGUGCCCAAAGUUUGAUUUCUCGCAGACCAGGAGGACCCAUUGGACCCCCGGGCUGGCUGCAGGGCCCACACCUGGGUUAGACCUCGCACAGGGACGCUGCUGCCACUGUAAUAAAGCGUGCCUACACGCUUCUGAAACUGGUGUAGGAACAACCUCAGUUCUGUGAAAGGCGGACGCAGCAGGACAGAAUCUCCGUGGACAUCUGUCUGGAGGAGCAAUUUUACUGCGACAUUUUAAAGAAACAAAUUUAAUUGAUUUCCAAGGUCUUUUUG